Molecule: unclassified non-coding RNA, 103 nt
Organism: Nomascus leucogenys (northern white-cheeked gibbon)
Lineage: Eukaryota; Metazoa; Chordata; Mammalia; Primates; Hylobatidae
Rfam family: Y RNA
About the family: Y RNAs are components of the Ro ribonucleoprotein particle (Ro RNP), in association with Ro60 and La proteins. The Y RNAs and Ro60 and La proteins are well conserved, but the function of the Ro RNP is not known.
Source: Ensembl
GGCUGGCCUGAGUGCAGUGGUGUUUACAGCUAAUCGAUCACAACCAGUUACAGAUUUUAUUUGUUCCUUCUCCACUCCCACCACUUCACUUGACUAGCCCUAA